Molecule: ribosomal RNA, 484 nt
Filed under: uncultured bacterium
Lineage: Bacteria
Description: partial 16S ribosomal RNA
Rfam family: Bacterial small subunit ribosomal RNA
Source: RNAcentral
AUUGAACGCUGGCGGCAUGCCUUACACAUGCAAGUCGAACGGCAGCGCGGACUUCGGUCUGGCGGCGAGUGGCGAACGGGUGAGUAAUACAUCGGAACGUACCCUGUUGUGGGGGAUAACUAGUCGAAAGAUUAGCUAAUACCGCAUACGACCUGAGGGUGAAAGUGGGGGACCGCAAGGCCUCACGCAGCAGGAGCGGCCGAUGUCUGAUUAGCUAGUUGGUGGGGUAAAGGCCCACCAAGGCGACGAUCAGUAGCUGGUCUGAGAGGACGAUCAGCCACACUGGGACUGAGACACGGCCCAGACUCCUACGGGAGGCAGCAGUGGGGAAUUUUGGACAAUGGGGGCAACCCUGAUCCAGCAAUGCCGCGUGUGUGAAGAAGGCCUUCGGGUUGUAAAGCACUUUUGUCCGGAAAGAAAUCGCGCUGGUUAAUACCUGGCGUGGAUGACGGCACCGGAAGAAUAAGCACCGGCUAACUACGUG